Molecule: ribosomal RNA, 1529 nt
Filed under: Escherichia coli DEC14B
Lineage: Bacteria; Pseudomonadati; Pseudomonadota; Gammaproteobacteria; Enterobacterales; Enterobacteriaceae
Description: bacterial SSU rRNA
Rfam family: Bacterial small subunit ribosomal RNA
Source: RNAcentral
GAGUUUGAUCAUGGCUCAGAUUGAACGCUGGCGGCAGGCCUAACACAUGCAAGUCGAACGGUAACAGGAAGAAGCUUGCUUCUUUGCUGACGAGUGGCGGACGGGUGAGUAAUGUCUGGGAAACUGCCUGAUGGAGGGGGAUAACUACUGGAAACGGUAGCUAAUACCGCAUAACGUCGCAAGACCAAAGAGGGGGACCUUCGGGCCUCUUGCCAUCGGAUGUGCCCAGAUGGGAUUAGCUUGUUGGUGGGGUAACGGCUCACCUAGGCGACGAUCCCUAGCUGGUCUGAGAGGAUGACCAGCCACACUGGAACUGAGACACGGUCCAGACUCCUACGGGAGGCAGCAGUGGGGAAUAUUGCACAAUGGGCGCAAGCCUGAUGCAGCCAUGCCGCGUGUAUGAAGAAGGCCUUCGGGUUGUAAAGUACUUUCAGCGGGGAGGAAGGGAGUAAAGUUAAUACCUUUGCUCAUUGACGUUACCCGCAGAAGAAGCACCGGCUAACUCCGUGCCAGCAGCCGCGGUAAUACGGAGGGUGCAAGCGUUAAUCGGAAUUACUGGGCGUAAAGCGCACGCAGGCGGUUUGUUAAGUCAGAUGUGAAAUCCCCGGGCUCAACCUGGGAACUGCAUCUGAUACUGGCAAGCUUGAGUCUCGUAGAGGGGGGUAGAAUUCCAGGUGUAGCGGUGAAAUGCGUAGAGAUCUGGAGGAAUACCGGUGGCGAAGGCGGCCCCCUGGACGAAGACUGACGCUCAGGUGCGAAAGCGUGGGGAGCAAACAGGAUUAGAUACCCUGGUAGUCCACGCCGUAAACGAUGUCGACUUGGAGGUUGUGCCCUUGAGGCGUGGCUUCCGGAGCUAACGCGUUAAGUCGACCGCCUGGGGAGUACGGCCGCAAGGUUAAAACUCAAAUGAAUUGACGGGGGCCCGCACAAGCGGUGGAGCAUGUGGUUUAAUUCGAUGCAACGCGAAGAACCUUACCUGGUCUUGACAUCCACGGAAGUUUUCAGAGAUGAGAAUGUGCCUUCGGGAACCGUGAGACAGGUGCUGCAUGGCUGUCGUCAGCUCGUGUUGUGAAAUGUUGGGUUAAGUCCCGCAACGAGCGCAACCCUUAUCCUUUGUUGCCAGCGGUCCGGCCGGGAACUCAAAGGAGACUGCCAGUGAUAAACUGGAGGAAGGUGGGGAUGACGUCAAGUCAUCAUGGCCCUUACGACCAGGGCUACACACGUGCUACAAUGGCGCAUACAAAGAGAAGCGACCUCGCGAGAGCAAGCGGACCUCAUAAAGUGCGUCGUAGUCCGGAUUGGAGUCUGCAACUCGACUCCAUGAAGUCGGAAUCGCUAGUAAUCGUGGAUCAGAAAUGCCACGGUGAAUACGUUCCCGGGCCUUGUACACACCGCCCGUCACACCAUGGGAGUGGGUUGCAAAAGAAGUAGGUAGCUUAACCUUCGGGAGGGCGCUUACCACUUUGUGAUUCAUGACUGGGGUGAAGUCGUAACAAGGUAACCGUAGGGGAACCUGCGGUUGGAUCACC